ACGACCUUACUUAAACAGGAUCUGUUCUAUAGGUUUGUACCUCUGUAUUCUUGAUUCCUAAAACGUCAGAAACCCAUGUCUGGUUAAUGAAUCAGGACUGUGUAACCAGAGCGUGAUUAAAAGAGCGGUAGCAUAAAGUGGUGAAUAAACUAUAGUAGCAACAGAUAAAAGAGCAAAGAGACAAGAAAAAGUAGGAAAAGCUAGCACCACGCUAACUCCUAAGGCUACAUGGUUGUCUUACAAACA
RNAcentral lists this small nucleolar RNA (246 nucleotides) under Helianthus annuus (common sunflower). RNAcentral's name for it is "sRNA HanXRQr2_Chr08g0353271". It matches the Rfam family "Plant small nucleolar RNA U3". Rfam says of the family: Small nucleolar RNAs (snoRNAs) are involved in the processing and modification of rRNA in the nucleolus. There are two main classes of snoRNAs: the box C/D class, and the box H/ACA class. U3 snoRNA is a member of the box C/D class. The record is from Rfam by way of RNAcentral. Lineage: Eukaryota; Viridiplantae; Streptophyta; Magnoliopsida; Asterales; Asteraceae.